AGCAUAUCAAUAAGCGGAGGAAAAGAAACCAACAGGGAUUGCCUCAGUAACGGCGAGUGAAGCGGCAAGAGCUCAAAUUUGAAAGCUGGCCCCUUCGGGGUCCGCAUUGUAAUUUGCAGAGGAUGCUUCGGGAGCGGUCCCCAUCUAAGUGCCCUGGAACGGGACGUCAUAGAGGGUGAGAAUCCCGUAUGGGAUGGGGUGUCCGCGCCCGUGUGAAGCUCCUUCGACGAGUCGAGUUGUUUGGGAAUGCAGCUCUAAAUGGGUGGUAAAUUUCAUCUAAAGCUAAAUAUUGGCCGGAGACCGAUAGCGCACAAGUAGAGUGAUCGAAAGAUGAAAAGCACUUUGAAAAGAGAGUUAAAAAGCACGUGAAAUUGUUGAAAGGGAAGCGCUUGCGACCAGACUCGCUCGCGGGGUUCAGCCGGCAUUCGUGCCGGUGUACUUCCCCGCGGGCGGGCCAGCGUCGGUUUGGGCGGUCGGUCAAAGGCCCUUGGAAGGUAACGCCCCCCGGGGCGUCUUAUAGCCAAGGGUGCAAUGCGGCCUGCCCGGACCGAGGAACGCGCUUCGGCUCGGACGCNGGCAUAAUGGUCGUAAGCGACCCGUC
RNAcentral lists this ribosomal RNA (601 nucleotides) under uncultured fungus. RNAcentral describes it as "eukaryotic LSU rRNA". It matches the Rfam family "Eukaryotic large subunit ribosomal RNA", at positions 37 to 653 of the family's 3401-position model. The record is from RNAcentral. Lineage: Eukaryota; Fungi.